CCUACGGGAGGCAGCAGUAGGGAAUCUUCCACAAUGGGCGAAAGCCUGAUGGAGCAACGCCGCGUGAGUGAUGAAGGCCUUCGGGUUGUAAAACUCUGUCAUUCGGGACGAACCGGAGUCUGAGGAAAUGCAGACUCUCUGACGGUACCGGAGGAGGAAGCCCCGGCUAACUACGUGCCAGCAGCCGCGGUAAUACGUAGGGGGCAAGCGUUGUCCGGAUUCACUGGGCGUAAAGCGCGCGCAGGCGGUGAUGUAAGUCUGAGGUGAAAACCCGAAGCUCAACUUCGGGACUGCCUUGGAUACUGCGUCACUUGAGGAUAGGAGAGGCAAGGGGAAUUCCACGUGUAGCGGUGAAAUGCGUAGAGAUGUGGAGGAACACCUGUGGCGAAGGCGCCUUGCUGGCCUAUUUCUGACGCUGAGGCGCGAAAGCGUGGGGAGCAAACAGGAUUAGAUACCCUGGUAGUCCACGCUGUAAACGAUGAGUGCUAGGUGUAGGUGGGCUCAUACCCAUCUGUGCCGAAGCUAACGCAUUAAGCACUCCGCCCUGGGGAGUACGGUCGCAGACUGAAACUCAAAUGAAAUUGACGG
This 588-nucleotide ribosomal RNA is filed under the name uncultured bacterium. RNAcentral describes it as "bacterial SSU rRNA". It matches the Rfam family "Bacterial small subunit ribosomal RNA", at positions 338 to 916 of the family's 1533-position model. The record is from RNAcentral.